RNAcentral lists this ribosomal RNA (474 nucleotides) under Dendrorhynchus papillaris. RNAcentral describes it as "partial 16S ribosomal RNA". It matches the Rfam family "Bacterial large subunit ribosomal RNA", at positions 1914 to 2597 of the family's 2925-position model. Lineage: Eukaryota; Metazoa; Nemertea; Pilidiophora; Heteronemertea; Polybrachiorhynchidae. The record is from RNAcentral.
UGUGUAGUUAUAAACAGCCGCGGUAUCUUGACCGUGCAAAGGUAGCAUAAUCACUUGCCCUUUAAUUGGGGGCUGGAAUGAAAGAAAGUUUUGAGGGCUCAGCUGUCUCUUGCGUUUGGUUGGAAUUUGCUGUUUUUGUGAAGAAGCAGGAGUGAUGGAGAAAGACAAGAAGACCCUAUUAAGCUUGACUGUUGGUUUCGUUUACUUUCUCUUUAGGGAUAUAAGUAAACUGUGUGACAGUUUGGUUGGGGCGACUAAAAAGGAGUUAUGUAUCCUCUUUUUACAAGAAAACUCGUAGUUUAACUGUGACCCAGGAUUUUCUGGUUGUAAGAAUUAGUUACUAUAGGGAUAACAGCGUAAUUUCCUCAGAGAGUUCUUAUUGAAGAGGGGGUUUGCGACCUCGAUGUUGACUUGUUGUUUCCUCUUUUAGGUGUAGCAGCUGGAAAGGUUAGUCUGUUCGACUAUUAAAACGGC